RNAcentral lists this transfer RNA (73 nucleotides) under Felis catus (domestic cat). It matches the Rfam family "tRNA". From Rfam's summary of the family: Transfer RNA (tRNA) molecules are approximately 80 nucleotides in length. Their secondary structure includes four short double-helical elements and three loops (D, anti-codon, and T loops). The record is from Rfam by way of RNAcentral. RNAcentral also lists the same sequence under 2 other names. Lineage: Eukaryota; Metazoa; Chordata; Mammalia; Carnivora; Felidae.
GCCUAGCUGGCUCAGUUGGUACAGGGUAUGACUCUUGAUCUUGGGGUUGUGAGUUCAAGCCUCACAUUGGGCA